This 1607-nucleotide unclassified non-coding RNA is filed under the name Leguminivora glycinivorella. Its description in RNAcentral is "uncharacterized LOC125226737, transcript variant X1". The record is from RNAcentral. Lineage: Eukaryota; Metazoa; Arthropoda; Insecta; Lepidoptera; Tortricidae.
CAUGCCAAUGCUAUUUUUGGUCAUGUAUAAAAUAUACAAUUAUACAUCUAACGGGUCUCUUGAUUUCGUUAAGUUUUAUACUGUUUAACUCCAUAUCUUCUCGAUAAAAUGAUAAAAAAAAAUCUAGUGGGGUUUUCAUUCCUCUUUGACGUCCGAGGCCCUAAAAAUUCAUUAAUCACUAUAGCAAUUUGAACUUUUCGUUUUGGUCAUAAGGUUCUCAACAAGAUGACUAUUCUUUACUUGCUAGGCACUAUUUAUAGUUUACAGGCUCAAUGAUCCAGUUAUUUAACAUAUAAAAGGGACGGUACGGAGAUAAAAACCAGAUGUAUGUGAAUAUCCUUUGAUGCAAGGCAGUGUUUCCUGUUAAAUAUGGCUCACAUGAUGAUGUUCAAAUUACUUCUAAUAUGGAUAUUAAUAUUAAGGCCUGCUCAAUCAAACAUAUUAGAAGAAACUAACUCUAUUGACGAAAGCGGUAAAUACCAUUUCAGUUUCAAAACGUCCAACGGACUAACCAGGAAUGAAGUAGGUACAGUGAAGAAUGACCAGAAGAAAAGUGUUGAAGGCUCCUACUCUUACACUGAUCCGAAUGGCAACGAAGUGAUCGUUCAAUACAAAUCCGACGAAAACGGCUACGUCACUGUGAAGGAUGUCGAAGGAGUAGAAUCAGCAACAGAAGCACCGCUGAAAAGUCCAACAAUACUGUUAUCACACCAACUGAAAAUGCCAGCUAUUGUGUGGGUCCGUCAACCUGUAAUCUCACCAUUUGUACUAUUCAAUCAACUUGGUAUAUCAACAUUCACAUUGCGCCAUCUGCUAGCAAAACCUCCACCGACGCAUCGGACAAAAAUAUUAUCAGCUGUGAAUUCCUACAGGCUGGAAAAACCAACAGUCAUGCCGGUUACUGAGCCGCAGGAAAAACCAAAUGUAACAUCAGAUCUCAGUCAAACCCUGUCAAACGUUCCGGCCACAGUAUCAUAUGUGCCUUCCCAUUCGGGACAAAUGUCAACAACUGCGCCUGACAAUAAGCUACACAACCAAACAAUAUCGUUUGUGCCUUACAGCGAUAUAAUAGACAUACCAAACCGUCAGCCGGACGUCACUCAGGAGGUAGUGCCACCACCCGUGCUCUAUACUCUACUAGGUGGCAGCAGCGGUUAAUAUUAGCCAAAGAAUUUGAAUUAAUUUGGAUUUGGUAUAAAUAUAUAAGGAAUACGCUUUAGCCUUUUACCAUUGCAUAUCAACUUAUUUUUUGUAGAGAUGACAGUAUAAUUAAUACAAAGUACUCCGCGUUGGAAUCAGCUUACGACUUUGUGCCGGUGGCGAAUGAGACGGCGGGGCCUUGGGGCUCAGAGGCUCGCUCCUUUUUCAAAGAGUUAGGGCGUCGUUUGCGGGAGAGGGGCUGCGAUCCUCGUUCUGGGUCGUAUCUGAUCCAACAGGUCUCCAUUGCAGUCCAGCGAGGUAAUGCAGCGGGAAUAAUGGGGACUUUUGAGCCAGAGCUCUUGAAGUGAAACUAUCAAUUGCCUAUUUGAAAUUGCCGCAAUAUUGUGUUUAAUAUUGCAUUUAUUUACAUGAAGAAAGCAAUACUUUUAAAAUUAUUAUUGUCAAUA